RNAcentral lists this ribosomal RNA (429 nucleotides) under Fusobacteriota bacterium. Its description in RNAcentral is "Fusobacteria bacterium partial 16S ribosomal RNA". It matches the Rfam family "Bacterial small subunit ribosomal RNA", at positions 355 to 776 of the family's 1533-position model. The record is from RNAcentral. Lineage: Bacteria; Fusobacteriati; Fusobacteriota.
UGGGGAAUCUUCCGCAAUGGACGAAAGUCUGACGGAGCAACGCCGCGUGAGUGAAGACGGCCUUCGGGUUGUAAAGCUCUGUGAUCCGGGACGAAAGAGCCUGAGGUAAAUAGCCUAAGGAAGUGACGGUACCGGAAAAGCAAGCCACGGCUAACUACGUGCCAGCAGCCGCGGUAAUACGUAGGAGGCAAGCGUUGUCCGGAAUUAUUGGGCGUAAAGCGCGCGCAGGCGGCUUCCUAAGUCCAUCUUAAAAGUGCGGGGCUUAACCCCGUGAUGGGAUGGAAACUGGGAAGCUGGAGUAUCGGAGAGGAAAGUGGAAUUCCUAGUGUAGCGGUGAAAUGCGUAGAGAUUAGGAAGAACACCGGUGGCGAAGGCGACUUUCUGGACGAAAACUGACGCUGAGGCGCGAAAGCGUGGGGAGCAAACAGG